UACGUAGGGUCCAAGCGUUAAUCGGAAUUACUGGGCGUAAAGCGUGCGCAGGCGGUUUUAUAAGCCAGAUGUGAAAUCCCCGGGCUUAACCUGGGAAUGGCAUUUGGGACUGUAAGGCUAGAGUACAGCAGAGGAGACUAGAAUUCCUGGUGUAGCAGUGAAAUGCGUAGAUAUCAGGAGGAAUACCGAUGGCGAAGGCAGGUCUCUGGGUCGAUACUGACGCUCAUGCACGAAAGCGUGGGGAGCAAACAGG
RNAcentral lists this ribosomal RNA (253 nucleotides) under uncultured bacterium. RNAcentral's name for it is "partial 16S ribosomal RNA". It matches the Rfam family "Bacterial small subunit ribosomal RNA", at positions 524 to 776 of the family's 1533-position model. The record is from RNAcentral.